This 86-nucleotide ribosomal RNA is filed under the name Klebsiella pneumoniae. RNAcentral also lists the same sequence under 22 other names. The record is from RNAcentral. Lineage: Bacteria; Pseudomonadati; Pseudomonadota; Gammaproteobacteria; Enterobacterales; Enterobacteriaceae.
CCUGGCGGCACUAGCGCGGUGGUCCCACCUGACCCCAUGCCGAACUCAGAAGUGAAACGCCGUAGCGCCGAUGGUAGUGUGGGGUC